Molecule: long non-coding RNA, 216 nt
Filed under: Mytilus galloprovincialis (Mediterranean mussel)
Lineage: Eukaryota; Metazoa; Mollusca; Bivalvia; Mytilida; Mytilidae
Source: RNAcentral
CUGACCAAGUGUUGUUACUUUGUAGCCGAUCCAUCAUCCAAGAUGGCCGCCAGCGGGGGACUUAGUUUAACAUAGGACCCUAUGGGAAAUAUAUACAAAUGUCUUCUUUUAGAGAACCACUGAAUGGAAUGAAACCAAACAUGGCAUGAAUGUUCCUUAUGAGGUUCUGACCAAGUGUUGUUACUUUGUAGCCGAUCCAUCAUCCAAGAUGGCCGC